GCUGACGAAGCGUUGCAGGUGUACGCGCUGGGCUGUGGACCCGGAGUAAGAGGUUCGAGUCCUCUCGUCAGUUCCA
RNAcentral lists this transfer RNA (76 nucleotides) under Bacteriophage DSS3_MAL1. RNAcentral's name for it is "tRNA-His". It matches the Rfam family "tRNA". Rfam says of the family: Transfer RNA (tRNA) molecules are approximately 80 nucleotides in length. Their secondary structure includes four short double-helical elements and three loops (D, anti-codon, and T loops). Further hydrogen bonds mediate the characteristic L-shaped molecular structure. tRNAs have two regions of fundamental functional importance: the anti-codon, which is responsible for specific mRNA codon recognition, and the 3' end, to which the tRNAs corresponding amino acid is attached (by aminoacyl-tRNA synthetases). tRNAs cope with the degeneracy of the genetic code in two manners: having more than one tRNA (with a specific anti-codon) for a particular amino acid; and 'wobble' base-pairing, i.e. permitting non-standard base-pairing at the 3rd anti-codon position. The record is from RNAcentral. Lineage: Duplodnaviria; Heunggongvirae; Uroviricota; Caudoviricetes.